UUUCCCAGAGUUAGGGGUCUCUCAUGGUCUGUCUCCCUUUCUGAUAUUUCCCCCCCAGUUUUUCCUCCUUUCCCCUUUAUUCCCUUUCACUAUUUUUUAUAUUCCCCAAAUGAAUGGGACCAUAACUUAAAUGCAUUUACCAGCAUGUAGUCUGACACCCAGCUAAGCAUUGGUGCGGAGUGUAUGUCUGAUGGGUAGACGGGCUUGUCGGCUGGGGGGGUUUCUGCAGCGAGGCCGCGUGGGGAGCCAGUUCUAACCCGAAGGCCUGUGUCAACAGGAGGCGUGUCCUCUUGGCCUGUUUUGUUUCUCAGAGGAGGGUGUCUGGGUGCCCUGCUUGGGGGGGCGAGGGAGGGGCAGCUGACUGCCCAGCUGACCAGGUGCGAGCUUUGUGACGAGCUUCCCUGUGUCCAGCCCCGGUGCGCUGUGCCCCUGGCUUGGUCCCAGGCUGUGGGGAGGGGCCUGGCACACCCCGCCCACAGCCGCCCCACACCUGCCCUGGACCCGCCGGACCUCGGACGUGCCAAGGCCCCACAGCAGCUGUCUUUGGAGAUGGUCAGAUCCUAAAUUUGUGUCUGGGCUAAGGCAGGCCCGUUUCUGCUCCUCCUCUGUCAAACGUUUUGCCUGGCAUUCUGCAGAAGCAUUGCUGUAUCUUACCAGACAGGAAUACAGACCAAGAAGCAAGGAAGGAAUCUGUGCUUCCGAAUUUCUCAGGAGCAGAUUUGAAGCCUGGAAGGUCACUGCUGAAGCUCUUAGGCUCAACGCCAGGCUUGCUGGGAGAGGGAGCGACGGAAGACCGCGUGACAGAACCCCAUGAAUUGGCUCCACCCCGAAAGGUGCUCCUUUCCCUGCAUGGUCACCAGCGUUUGUGUCCUUCAUGCUGGGGACCGUGCAGAGCCCAUGCAUGGAUUUUCUUGGCUUCUGCGCAUCCGUGUGUGCUGCUGCCAUCGCCCCAUUUCGCAGAUGAAGAGUCAGCUGUGUGGAGCGCAGCCAGGUGUGCGGACGGGCUUUGCUCCUUGCCAUCAGACCCCAGAGCUCUUUGUCGCCACGUUUUAAAAACUGUGCUACACAAAUACGGUUUUCCUAGCUGAUUUUCAAAGAGCAUUCUCAGUACUUCCUUGUGGUCCUAUGACCUCACGCUAUAAUUAAGGGGAGAGAGGUCUUAGUGAGAAGUCACAGUGAGCAUAUUUAACUAAACCCAUGCUGAGAAAAUUGUCUGCAAGAAAUGAAUGGUUUGCAUUAAAAAGAGCCAAGCUUUAGGGGAAGGCCAGAUUUAAUGGGGCCGCAUUCAGCAGGCCCUUAGGAAUCAAUGUGGUACCUGCAAGGUCAGCAAGGUCAGAACAGGGGAACCUGUCUGCUUACCCCUCCUGGGCUUGGGAGGCAUGGGGUCAGCCAGGCCAGCAGGUGCCCCAGGCUGGGGGUGGGUCAGGUACCCUGUGAGGGAGGGGCUCAUGUGCCUUGUGGAGGGGGGUGUCUGUGUGCCCUCUGCUUGGUGAGGGGGCUGGGUGCCCCAUGGGGGGUGCGUGUCCC
RNAcentral lists this long non-coding RNA (1527 nucleotides) under Vulpes vulpes (red fox). RNAcentral describes it as "lncRNA (ENSVVUG00000023944.1)". The record is from RNAcentral. Lineage: Eukaryota; Metazoa; Chordata; Mammalia; Carnivora; Canidae.